Molecule: ribosomal RNA, 497 nt
Filed under: uncultured bacterium
Lineage: Bacteria
Description: partial 16S ribosomal RNA
Rfam family: Bacterial small subunit ribosomal RNA
Source: RNAcentral
GAUGAACGCUGGCGGCGUGCCUAAUACAUGCAAGUCGAGCGAACGGACCAGAAGUUUGCUUCUCUGAUGUUAGCGGCGGACGGGUGAGUAACACGUGGAUAACCUACCUAUAAGACUGGGAUAACUUCGGGAAACCGUAGCUAAUACCGGAUAAUAUUUUGAACCGCAUGGUUCAAAAGUGAAAGAAGGUCUUUCUGUCACUUAUAGAUGGACACGCGCUGCAUUAGCUAGUUGGUAAGGGAACGGAUUACCGAAGCAAGGAGGCAUACCCGCCCCGAACGGGUCAUCGGCUACACGGGUAGUGAGACAGGUUCCAGACUCCUACAGGAGGAAGCAGUAGGGAAUCCUACGCAAUGGGCGAAUGCCUGACCGAACAACGCCGCGUGAGUGAUGAAGGAGUUCUGAUCGUAAAACUCUGAUGUUAGGAAAGAACAAAUGUGUAAGUAGCUGUGCAGAUCUUGACGGUACCAAAACAAGAAGCCACGGCUAACUACGUG